CGUGGCGGGCGGAUGACCGCCUCGGGGCCCAAGGCCGAGCGAUCGGCUGUCGGGAACGUCCUGGGGAGGAAAGUCCGGACUCCGUAGGGCGCGAUGGUGGGUAACGCCCACCGCCCGGCCCGGCGACGGGUCGGGUAGGGAAAGUGCAACAGAAAGUAAACCGCCUCCCUGGCCUCCCGGCUGGGGAGGUAAGGGUGAAACGGUGAGGUAAGAGCUCACCAGCAGGCCGGGCGACCGGCCUGGCUCGGCAAACCCCAUCGGGAGCAAGACCAAAUAAGGGGGCAGCGUUUUUGCCGAUUCGUCGGCCGGAACCGCGGGUCGGCCCGGCCCGCCACCGACUCCCGGGUAGGUCGCUUGAGGCGCCGGGCAACCGGCGUCCUAGAGAAAUGGUCAUCCGAGGGCCACUCGGCCCCUCGACAGAAUCCGGCUUAUCGCCCGCCACGAACC
RNAcentral lists this RNase P RNA (447 nucleotides) under Tautonia sociabilis. Its description in RNAcentral is "Bacterial RNase P class A". It matches the Rfam family "Bacterial RNase P class A". From Rfam's summary of the family: Ribonuclease P (RNase P) is a ubiquitous endoribonuclease, found in archaea, bacteria and eukarya as well as chloroplasts and mitochondria. Its best characterised activity is the generation of mature 5'-ends of tRNAs by cleaving the 5'-leader elements of precursor-tRNAs. Cellular RNase Ps are ribonucleoproteins. The record is from Rfam by way of RNAcentral. Lineage: Bacteria; Pseudomonadati; Planctomycetota; Planctomycetia; Isosphaerales; Isosphaeraceae.